AUUGAACGCUGGCGGAAUGCUUUACACAUGCAAGUCGAACGGUAGAGGGGGCAACCCCUCGAGAGUGGCGAACGGGUGAGUAAUAUAUCGGAACGUGCCCAGUCGUGGGGGAUAACGUAGCGAAAGUUACGCUAAUACCGCAUACGAUCUAAGGGUGAAAGCGGGGGAUGGCGAGACCUCGCGCGACGCGAGCGGCCGAUAGCAGAUUAGGUAGUUGGUGGGGUAAAGGCUCACCAAGCCAAGGAUCUGUAGCUGGUCUGAGAGGACGACCAGCCACACUGGAACUGAGACACGGUCCAGACUCCUACGGGAGGCAGCAGUGGGGAAUUUUGGACAAUGGACGCAAGUCUGAUCCAGCCAUUCCGCGUGCAGGAUGAAGGCCCUCGGGUUGUAAACUGCUUUUGUACGGAACGAAAAGGUCUCUCUUAAUACGGGGGACUCAUGACGGUACCGUAAGAAUAAGCACCGGCUAACUACGUGCCAGCAGCCGCGGUAA
Molecule: ribosomal RNA, 496 nt
Filed under: uncultured bacterium
Lineage: Bacteria
Description: partial 16S ribosomal RNA
Rfam family: Bacterial small subunit ribosomal RNA
Source: RNAcentral